GUGCUAGCUUUGACAGCACGUAUACUAAAAUUGGAAUGAUACAGAGAAGAUUAGCAUGGCCCCUGUGCAAGGACAACUUGCAAAUUCAUGAAGCAUUCCAUGUUUUU
RNAcentral lists this small nuclear RNA (107 nucleotides) under Dasypus novemcinctus (nine-banded armadillo). The record is from RNAcentral. Lineage: Eukaryota; Metazoa; Chordata; Mammalia; Cingulata; Dasypodidae.